AUUACUCCCACCUGGUCAUGUGACAAUUCAUCCAAUAGCCAUUUGCAGCACACUUGGUGGAAGAGAAUCUGCCACUACCUGGUGUCAGGUGGGGGAGGUGGGGACAAACCAUUUUCCAAGAUCAAGCGAUUGUUCUCUUGAAGCCAAACUAAACUUUAGGCGAGGGACAAAAUUCAGAUUUAUUAAAUUUAGCUGAUAGUACCCUAAUCAAGGGAGGUGGAUUCUAGUAUUUAAUGGUCAGCAUCAGUGGGAACACCGGUCUACACAACAUGCUUUAGUCACUUUACCCUCAGUUGCUUUAAUUAUGCUACAUUUGGUCCUAAACAAGUUCCAGAUCAGCCUCAAUUAUCCCUCUGAGCCAAGAUGCAGGAGAAACACCUGAGAUGCUCCAGCAAGUUUUAAACUACAGCAGCCAGAUUUAUUGAAACAUUGCUUCAAGAUCCUUUAAAGAAAACCAGCUGUUUAAAGUCAGACUAAACCAGUUUAAAUCAUCAAUGGAGUUUAAGGACACAAACUCAAAUUCAUGGUUUACUUUAGGUUUAUUAGAGGUUACUUCGUAGUUUCUUGGAGGUUCUGCUGAUCAGUUCCACCUGCAGAAACAAAGAAACACAGCAGUUAGUCCCUGAACCAGCAGCUUCUUCUACACUCCAUGUUCCAGCUGCUUCUUACCUCCUUAGACCUUGGUUCCAGUUCCUGUUCCAGGUCCUUGGCUGGGAUCUCCUGGGUUCACCGGAGAGUAAAACGGGCCAAAGUCAUCUGGGGAGUAUUUAGAGUGGGAGAGGAGUUCUCUGGCUCGCUGGUAGCCGUUACUGGACUGGACGAUGUAGGACGUAGGACCACGAACAACCAAUGGGAAGGGGUCGGUGGGAAUGUUAUCAGGGAUCCAGACUGAGGGGUCUGGGAGACGGACAAACCUUGGUCUCAAGUCCUUGGCUGGGAUCUCCUGGGUUCACUGGAGAGAAAAACGGGCCAAAGUCAUCUGGGGAGUAUUUAGAGUGGGAGAGGAGUUCUCUGGCUCGCUGGUAGCCGUUACUGGACUGGACGAUGUAGGACGUAGGACCACGAACAACCAAUGGGAAGGGGUCUGUGGGAAUGUUAUCAGGGAUCCAGACUGAGGGGUCUGGGAGACGGACAAACCUUGGUCUCAAGUCAUUUAUAUCGUAGGAGAACCCCUGUGGGUAGUUAAUCAAAGGAGUAAAUCCUGCAGAUCCAAAGGGCAAAGAACUGCUGAAGAAACCAGAGCCUCCUGAACCACCAGAUCCCCCAGAGCCUCCAGAACCACCAAAUCCCCCAGAACCACCAGAGCCAGCUCCUCCUCCAGUUCCUCCACCAGCUCCUCCAGAACCUGUUUGACCUGAAUCCAGACACAAACCAACAUGUUCACGGCUCUGAUCCACUCAUGUGGACACCAGCAGCUAAAUAAAUCCACAUCCAGCUGCUGGAGCUGCCUUCAGACACGUUGAACUUCAUUUAAAGCUGCUUCAGGUCAACAUGUCUGCAGACUCACCUUUACUUAGAAAAGGGUAACAAGCUCCAGAGCUGAGGAGCAGGAAGCAGAUCCAGGAGACCCUGUGGAGAGCAGAAAGCAGCCUGUAAACAGCAGCACAUGGAAGCCCACCUGCAGCAUGAAGCGCAGCAGCUCACCUGAGAACAGAUUCCAGCAGCAUGUCCAGCUGUGAGAAGAAGCCGAGGCCACAGAGUUCAGCUCCAGCAGCCUCCUCACUGCUGAUCAACCUGCUGGAGCUGAACUCUGUGGCCUCGGCUUCUUCUCACAGCUGGACAUGCUGCUGGAAUCUGUUCUCAGGGUCUUCUGGAUCUGCUUCCUGCUCCUCAGCUCUGGAGCUUGUUACCCUUUUCUAAUUAAAGGUCAAACAGGUUCUGGAGGAGCUGGUGGAGGAACUGGAGGAGCUGGUGGAGGAGCUGGUGCUGGUGGUUCUGGGGGAUCUGGUGGUUCUGGAGGAUCUGGUGGUUCAGGAGGCUCUGGUUUCUUCAGCAGUUCUUUGCCCUUUGGAUCUGCAGGAUUUACUCCUUUGAUUAACUACCCACAGGGGUUCUCCUACGAUAUAAAUGACUUGAGACCAAGGUUUGUCCGUCUCCCAGACCCCUCAGUCUGGAUCCCUGAUAACAUUCCCACCGACCCCUUCCCAUUGGUUGUUCGUGGUCCUACGUCCUACAUCGUCCAGUCUAGUAACGGCUACCAGCGAGCCAGAGAACUCCUCUCCCACUCUAAAUACUCCCCAGAUGACUUUGGCCCGUUUUUCUCUCCGGUGAACCCAGGAGAUCCCAGCCAAGGACCUGGACCUGGAACCGGAACCAAGGUCUAAGGAGGUGGAACUGAUCAGCAGAACCUCCAAGAAACUACGACGUAACCUUUAAUAAACCUUAAGUAAACAUGAAUCUGAGUAUCUGUGCUUGACUUUAACGCCAUUGAUUUAAACUGGUUUAGUUUGACUUUAAACAGCUGGUUUUCUUAAACUAUCAAGCAGCCGUUCCAAUAAUUCUGGCUGCUGUAGUUUAAAGUCUCUCAGGUGUUUCUCCUGCAUCUUAUCAGCUCAGAGGUAAGAAAAUGGAGGAUGACCUGGAACAAAUGACACCGUGUCUGGGACCAAAUGCAGCUAUAGUGAAGAACCUGACAGUAAAGUGACUCUAAAGCGUCUUGUGUAGAUGAGUAGUUCUACUGAAUUUGUUCUGACCAUUAAACCCUAGACCUCUCCUUCCUUGGUUGGAGUUCUGUUCUCAGCUGAUCUAGUAAACUGGAAUUGUGACCAAAGUAAACCAUGAAUCUGAGUUUGUCUGACUUGAACUUUACUGAAGGUUUAAAUGAGUUUUAACUCUUUAAACGGUUGGUUUUCUUCAAUUCUCCUGAAGUUAUCUUUAACUGGCUGCUCCUGUAGUUUAACAUUGCCAUGAAGGUAUUUGAGCUACAAAUCAGGAGAACAAGGGUGAAAACUCUGCUUUUCUGGGACCAAAUAAAGCAGUUCGCUUAAAAGUGAUGUUUUUCUGUGUAGAUUAAUGGACUAAAGUGGUUUUUCC
Molecule: long non-coding RNA, 3033 nt
Organism: Amphiprion ocellaris (clown anemonefish)
Lineage: Eukaryota; Metazoa; Chordata; Actinopteri; Pomacentridae
Source: Ensembl